UGGUUGUCGUCAGCUCGUGCCGUGAGGUGUCGGGUUAAGUCCCAGUAACGAGCGCAACCCCUGCAUUCAGUUGCCAUCGGGUAAUGCCGGGCACUCUGGAAGGACUGCCAUCGACAAGAUGGAGGAAGGUGGGGAUGACGUCAAGUCAUCAUGGCCCUUAUGUCCAGGGCGACACACGUGCUACAAUGGCCGGCACAACGGGAAGCGAGUUCGCGAGGACGAGCGGAUCCCUCAAAGCCGGUCGCAGUUCGGAUUGAAGUCUGCAACUCGACUUCAUAAAGCUGGAAUCGCUAGUAAUCGUGGAUCAGCCAAGCCGCGGUGAAUACGUUCCCGGGCCUU
RNAcentral lists this ribosomal RNA (339 nucleotides) under uncultured Synergistaceae bacterium. RNAcentral describes it as "bacterial SSU rRNA". It matches the Rfam family "Bacterial small subunit ribosomal RNA", at positions 1046 to 1382 of the family's 1533-position model. The record is from RNAcentral. Lineage: Bacteria; Thermotogati; Synergistota; Synergistia; Synergistales; Synergistaceae.